Ictalurus furcatus (blue catfish) is the source of this 1883-nucleotide long non-coding RNA. RefSeq lists it as uncharacterized. The transcript has 2 exons. NCBI's taxonomy places the organism in Eukaryota, Metazoa, Chordata, Actinopteri, Siluriformes, Ictaluridae. The record is from RefSeq and is a predicted model, not a curated record.
CACAGUAAUAAAAGAACAGUUAUUCAAAGAGCUCACAAGCUGUACACUCACUACUUUACACUGUAGCAAAGUGUCAUUUCUUCAGUGUUGUCACAUGAAAAGAUAUAAUCAAAUAUUUCCAAAAAUGCAAGGGGUGUACUCACUUUUGUGAGAUACUAUAUAUAUAUAAAUAUAUAAUGUGUGUGUAUGAGAGAGAGAAAUAUAUAGGUAUGUUUCUACUAAAACCGUCUUCUAACUCGUUUUAAACAAACACAUUAAAUAAUAUUUAAUACAGUGCACAUACAUAUAUAUAUAGACACAGAGAGAGAGAGAGAGAGAAUAUCCACAAAUAGGGAAGAAGAUUUCAAAGAUAAGGUCAUGUCUACAAUUAUUAAAUUACAAAAACAAUUAUCAUGGACGGGACAAAAGGGAUGAUGGAUGAAAUGUAUGUAUGAUGUAAUAGCUCUUGCCCAGAAAUCCGCUUCUAGAAAGUUGCCGUUCCCGAGUUUGGACACACGGGGGCAGUCAAGCUCCAUCCAGCACAACGCCGCCCGAAACAGAAGGCCAGCAUGCAUUGCGACAGUCAACAAACAGGUAAUAAUGGAGAGAUCCAGGCACUGGCACACAGACAAGAGGAAAUUUAAAAAGAUUUGGCAAGUUGACUUUUUAUUUACUGAAAUCAAUUCAAAGGCAGUGUGUCUAGUUUGCACGCAGUCCGUUCUUCAGCUUUCUCAAAGGACAGCGGCGAGGCAUGAAAACAGAAGGCUAACGAGCUGCUUGCUAAACUUCGAUCUGAGCAGAGUGCGCUGCUACAUCCUUAAUCAGCUCAAGAAAGUGCCACACGGGCCAGCUAUCAGAUUUCCUGUAUUUUACAUCAAGAACAGCUAUGUGCCCAAUCCAUCGGGCUUAUGGAUGUGAUGCGUGACGUCGUCAAAAAUGUGAAUGAUAUACGCUCCAAGGCGCUCUCUCACCUGCAGUUCAAGGUACUGUUGGAUGAGAUGGAUGCACAAUAUGGUGAUGUGUUGUACCACCAGGAGGUUAGAUGGCUGAGCAGAGGAAAAGUUCUCAGGAGAUUUUUUGAUCUGCGUGAUGAGAUCAGAGCUUUUCAGGAAAGCAAGAUUGGUAGUAUUCAAGUGCCCAUGGAUAAGAAAUGGUUUUCUGACCUGGCUUUCCUGGUGGAUGUCACAGAGCUGCUCAAUGUUUUAAAUGUUCAGCUCCAGGGAAAAGACCAGAUUAUCACCCAGCUUUUUUAUCAUGUCGGAGCCUUCAAACAAAAACUACUGCUGCUCCGAAGACAUCUCUCAGCAGCUAACAUUCACAAUUAUAAUAUUCACCAUAGUUUUAUGUGCAGUUAUUGUUAUUAUUAAUACUUAUAUUUAGUUAACAUUUAUAUCCAGUGGAGUCAGCUUUGGGUUUUUUUGUUAAUCAAGCUGAUAAUAAUGACUAGAUUCUGUUCUACUACUUCGCAGUCAUAAUGAUCUUUUUUCUCCCUCUCUCCUUUCGCCGAGCCCCACAUGAAUUUAUGGAGAUACUAGAGAUCCAGAUCCUUUCUGCCUCUGGAUGGAGCUCAAAUCUUCUCUAAUUCCAGACUGCUGGGACUAUGGCUGCUCCUAAGGCCAUACAGACUUCAUAUAAAUCCAUAAUGAACUUUUUCACACUAUCUGUUGUUACCCAGAUGAGGAUGGGUUCCCUUCUGAGUCGGGUUCCUCUCAAGGUUUCUUCCUCUUAAAACAUCUUAGGGAGUUUUUCCUUGCCACCGUCGCCACUCAGUGGCUUGCUCAGUUGGGAUAAAUUCGCACCUUUAGUAUCUGUAUACCAUGUUGAUAUUUCUGUAAAGCUGCUUUGAGACAAUGUCUAUUGUAAAAAGCGCUAUACAAAUAAAAUUGAAUUGAAUUGAAAUUGAA